Molecule: ribosomal RNA, 301 nt
Filed under: uncultured bacterium
Lineage: Bacteria
Description: partial 16S ribosomal RNA
Rfam family: Bacterial small subunit ribosomal RNA
Source: RNAcentral
CAGUAGCCACGGUAAUACAGAGGGUGCAAGCGUUAAUCGGAAUUACUGGGCGUAAAGCGCGCGUAGGUGGUUUGUUAAGUUGGAUGUGAAAGCCCCGGGCUCAACCUGGGAACUGCAUCCAAAACUGGCAAGCUAGAGUACGGUAGAGGGUGGUGGAAUUUCCUGUGUAGCGGUGAAAUGCGUAGAUAUAGGAAGGAACACCAGUGGCGAAGGCGACCACCUGGACUGAUACUGACACUGAGGUGCGAAAGCGUGGGGAGCAAACAGGAUUAGAUACCCCGUAGUCCCUGUCUCUUAUACA